GAUGAACGCUGGCGGCGUGCUUAACACAUGCAAGUCGAACGGUGAAGCAGGAGCUUGCUCUUGUGGAUCAGUGGCGAACGGGUGAGUAACACGUGAGCAACCUGCCCCUGACUCUGGGAUAAGCGCUGGAAACGGCGUCUAAUACUGGAUAUGUGAUGUGACCGCAUGGUCUGCAUCUGGAAAGAAUUUCGGUUGGGGAUGGGCUCGCGGCCUAUCAGCUUGUUGGUGAGGUAAUUGCUCACCAAGGCGUCGACGGGUAGCCGGCCUGCGAGGGUGCACGGCCACACUGGGACUGAGACACGGCCCAGACUCCUACGGGAGGAAGCAGUGGGGAAUAUUGCACAAUGGGCGGAAGCCUGAUGCAGCAACGCCGCGUGAGGGAUGACGGCCUUCGGGUUGUAAACCUCUUUUAGCAGGGAAGAAGCGAAAGUGACGGUACCUGCAGAAAAAGCACCGGCUAACUACGUGCCAGCCGCCGCCGCAG
Molecule: ribosomal RNA, 484 nt
Filed under: uncultured bacterium
Lineage: Bacteria
Description: partial 16S ribosomal RNA
Rfam family: Bacterial small subunit ribosomal RNA
Source: RNAcentral